GACGAACGCUGGCGGCGUGCCUAAUACAUGCAAGUAGAACGCUGAAGGAGGAGCUUGCUCUUCUGGAUGAGUUGCGAACGGGUGAGUAACGCGUAGGUAACCUGCCUGGUAGCGGGGGAUAACUAUUGGAAACGAUAGCUAAUACCGCAUAAGAGUAGAUGUUGCAUGACAUUUGCUUAAAAGGUGCAAUUGCAUCACUACCAGAUGGACCUGCGUUGUAUUAGCUAGUUGGUGGGGUAACGGCUCACCAAGGCGAGGAUACAUAGCCGACCUGGGAGGGGGAGCGGCCACACUGGGAGUGAGACACGGCCCAGACGCCUACGGGAGGCACCAGUAGGGAAUCUUCGGCAAUGGACGGAAGUCUGACCGCGCAACGCCGCGUGAGUGAAGAAGGUUGUCGGAUCGUAAAGCUCGGUUGUAAGAGAAGAACGAGUGUGAGAGUGGAAAGUUCACACUGUGACGGUAUCUUACCAGAAAGGGACGGCUAACUACGUG
This 495-nucleotide ribosomal RNA is filed under the name uncultured bacterium. Its description in RNAcentral is "partial 16S ribosomal RNA". It matches the Rfam family "Bacterial small subunit ribosomal RNA", at positions 28 to 507 of the family's 1533-position model. The record is from RNAcentral.